Molecule: ribosomal RNA, 451 nt
Filed under: uncultured bacterium
Lineage: Bacteria
Description: partial 16S ribosomal RNA
Rfam family: Bacterial small subunit ribosomal RNA
Source: RNAcentral
AGCGAACGCUGGCGGCAGGCUUAACACAUGCAAGUCGAGCGGGCAUAGCAAUAUGUCAGCGGCAGACGGGUGAGUAACGCGUGGGAACGUACCUUUUGGUUCGGAACAACUGAGGGAAACUUCAGCUAAUACCGGAUAAGCCCUUACGGGGAAAGAUUCAUCGCCGAAAGAUCGGCCCGCGUCUGAUUAGCUAGUUGGUGAGGUAAUGGCUCACCAAGGCGACGAUCAGUAGCUGGUCUGAGAGGAUGAUCAGCCACAUUGGGACUGAGACACGGCCCAAACUCCUACGGGAGGCAGCAGUGGGGAAUAUUGGACAAUGGGCGCAAGCCUGAUCCAGCCAUGCCGCGUGAGUGAUGAAGGCCCUAGGGUUGUAAAGCUCUUUUGUGCGGGAAGAUAAUGACGGUACCGCAAGAAUAAGCCCCGGCUAACUUCGUGCCAGCCGCUGCUGUAA